AACGAACGCUGGCGGCAGGCCUAACACAUGCAAGUCGAACGCGUCCUUCGGGACGAGUGGCAGACGGGUGAGUAACGCGUGGGAACGUACCCUUCGGUUCGGAACAACAGCGGGAAACUGCUGCUAAUACCGGAUAAGCCCUUCGGGGGAAAGAUUUAUCGCCAGAGGAUCGGCCCGCGUUAGAUUAGCUUGUUGGUGAGGUAAUGGCUCACCAAGGCUACGAUCUAUAGCUGGUCUGAGAGGAUGAUCAGCCACACUGGGACUGAGACACGGGCCAGACUCUUACGGGAGGCAGCAGUGGGGAAUCUUGGACAAUGGGCGAAAGCCUGAUCCAGCCAUGCCGCGUGAAUGAUGAAGGCCCUAGGGUUGUAAAAUUCUUUCGACGGGGAAGGAUAAUGACGGUACCCGUAGAAGAAGCUCCGGCUAACUUCGUGCCAGCAGCCGCGGUAAU
This 451-nucleotide ribosomal RNA is filed under the name uncultured bacterium. RNAcentral describes it as "bacterial SSU rRNA". It matches the Rfam family "Bacterial small subunit ribosomal RNA", at positions 29 to 524 of the family's 1533-position model. The record is from RNAcentral.